GUAAACGCAGUAGAAAAUUUCUCUUAUUCAGAAUUCAGAGGGAAUCAACAAUGUUGUAUGCAACAAGGUUUAGGGUUUCUGUUCGUCAAAUCCCUAAUUUUGUUGCACUAUCCAUUCUCCCUCCUUCCUGGACAAGCCUUCACUUUCAUUCUGAGCCUCCAUCCCUUGCUGAAGUUGACGAUGCUGUUGAUUCCUUUACUCGCAUGCUCUCUAUGCGUCGUACUCCUCCCAUCAACCAAUUUAACAAGAUUUUGGGAUCCCUUGCCAAGACGAAGCAUUUCCACGCCGCCGUUUCCCUUUUUCAGCAAUUGCAAGCCAGGGGAAUCGCUCCCGACUUUUUUACUUUGAACAUCUUAAUCAAUUGUUGUUGCGGCAUGGGUCGUAUGACGCUUGCUUUCUCUGUAUUGGCCAAGAUUUUCAGGAUGGGUUUUCAGUCUAAUACCAUAACGUUCACAACAAUCCUGAAAGGUCUCUGUCUCUGUGGUAAUGUUGAAAAAGCACUGCACUUCCAUGACAUAGUACGGGCUCAUGGAUUUCAGCUUAAUCAAGUCACCUAUGGGACCUUGGUUAAUGGACUCUGUAAGGCCGGACACACAGCAGCUGCGAUUCAAGUGUUGAGAAAGAUCCCACAGUAUGGGAUUGUUCCUAAUGUUGUCAUGUACAGCGCAAUUAUUGAUAGCCUCUGCAAGGAUACACUUGUAAGUGAGGCUUUUCUUUUGUACUCUGAAAUGCUUGCUAUGGGAAUUUCUCCCAAUGUUAUCACUUACACUGCUCUGAUUUAUGGAUUGUGCCUUGCGGGUCAACUUAAGGAAGCCAUUCAUAUACUAAAUCAUAUGAUGCUCAAAAACAUUACUCCAGAUGUUCAGACCUAUAAUACUUUGAUCCAUGGGCUAUGCAAGGAAGGAAAGAUCAAAGAUGCUAAGAACUUGUUGGCUGUGAUGACAAAACAUGGUGUGAAACCAAGUGUGGUUACUUAUAACAGCUUAAUGGAUGGGCAUUGUUUGGUUAAUCAGGUAAAUAAGGCAAAAUAUGUAUUCAACACAAUGACCCAAAGUAGUGUGUCUCCUAAUGUUUGUAGUUACAAUAUCAUGAUUAAUGGCUUGUGCAAAAGUAAAAUGGUCAAUGAUGCCUUGAAUCUCCUUAAAGAGAUGUGUUGCAUGAACUUGGUUCCCGACAUGUUUACUUACAAUACUCUAAUUGAUGGCUUGGGAAAAUCAAGGAGAAUCCUUUGUGCUGUGGAGCUUCUUGAAAAGAUGCAUGAUAGAGGUCAACAUGCUGAUAUAUUCACUUACACUUCCUUGCUGGAUGGUUUGUUCAAUAUCAAACAACAUGACAAGGCACUUAUGUUAUUCAAUCAAAUGAAAGAGAGUGGCAUUGAUCCAAAUAUACGUACAUACAGCAUACUUAUAGAUGGCCUGUGCAAAAGUGGAAGACUUAAAAAUGCAACAGAGAUAUUUCAAGAUCUUUCCAACAAAGGCUAUCGUCCAGAUGUGAAGACAUACACCAUUAUGAUCAAUGGGCUUUGCAAAGAGGGACUGCUUCAUGAAGCAUUAGCUUUAUUGUCGAGAAUGGAAGACAAUGGUUGCUUACCGGAUGCUGUGACUUACGAAAUAAUCGUUCGUGCUCUGUUUGAAAGAGGUGAAAAUGAUAACGCGGAGAAACUUCUUCGUGAAAUGAUAUCUAGAGGCCUAUUGCAAGGAUAAAAGCAUUUUCGGUGACUAGAUGGCUGUUAUAUGUGGCUUGUUGGAUCUAUCAUUGUUUGCUUUUGUGUUUUUCAUCUCUGAAGAAACAAGAACCACCUCUGUGCAUGAACUUCUGAAAAUAGCUGUUGAAGGCAUAGGAAGCAUGGUCUUUCAAAGUGUUUGGAUAAUAGCAUGGUUGGUUCACUUGGAUUUUGCUACAACCUGCACCUCCACUUCCACAAGCCCAGUUCAGCGCUGCCUGCAACUCAUCGUUGCUGCUUUGCAGAUCAGCUAUGCACCAUUGCUCAUACACUGCAUCAUGUGAUCAUAAUAUAAUGCAAUUAGGUGAAAAAAUGAACAUUUAUACACAAACAUUGGUGGAUAUUUUAACAACACAUGAGCACUUAUGUAUUUAACCCUUUUUGGUGCAAUCAUGGAUAGGAAAAGAAUCAGAACCAUUAACUUGGCCAUUAAUGUUUCCAUUUUGGAGGAGACACAGGCCUAGCUGAUAAGAACUCUGAAUAGUGAAUAGGAUAGCCAAGAAACUAGAAAUUUAGUUGCAUAUAUAUUAUAUAAUGAAGUUAAUGGAAAAUGGAAGUUAUGGUCAUGUGUUGUGUGCUUCUAACGGCUAAGAAGGAAUGUUCAUAUUCCAUUACAAGUGGACACUCUGCACCAAGCAGGAUCAGAUUUUAUGUGGGACUCACCGUCAGGGUGUGAAAAUGUGAUGAAAAAUUACAUGAAAAGGAUCAUGUGGUCAAAUUAUCAGUGACAAAUUAUGCUGCUUACACAGGUCACAUUCAGAUUUAGAAAUGAUUUGCCACAAAAAUAAUUAAAAGAUGUUAAGCUAAGAAUCAAACUUCUAGAAACAAUUUUUGUAAAAUUAAGUGCUUAUUGUUUC
Arachis stenosperma is the source of this 2580-nucleotide RNA transcript. It is a transcript of the gene named pentatricopeptide repeat-containing protein At1g12620-like, with no coding region annotated. The transcript has 3 exons. Lineage: Eukaryota; Viridiplantae; Streptophyta; Magnoliopsida; Fabales; Fabaceae. The record is from RefSeq and is a predicted model, not a curated record.